GUUGUAUGGUUAAGUGACUAAGCGUACACGGUGGAUGCCUUGGCAGUUGGAGGCGAUGAAGGACGUAUUAACUUGCGAUAAGCCUAGUCAAGCUAGUAAAAAGCACUUGAGACUAGGAUUUCCGAAUGGGGAAACCCACCUGCUUGCAGGUAUCGUUAACUGAAUACAUAGGUUAACGAGGCGAACGCGGAGAACUGAAACAUCUAAGUACCCGUAGGAAAAGAAAUCAACCGAGAUUCCGAAAGUAGCGGCGAGCGAAAUCGGAACAGCCCUUAAGCUUAUUAUGUGUUAAUGGAAGGCUGCUGGAAAGCGCCACGAUACAGGGUGAUAGUCCCGUACAUGAAAAGACAUUUUAAGUGAAAUCGAGUAGGUCGGAGCACGUGAAACUUUGACUGAAUAUAGGUGGACCAUCAUCUAAGGCUAAAUACUCCCAACUGACCGAUAGUGAACCAGUACCGUGAGGGAAAGGCGAAAAGAACCCCUGUGAGGGGAGUGAAAUAGAACCUGAAACCGUGUACGUACAAGCAGUAGGAGCCCACUUGUUGGGUGACUGCGUACCUUUUGUAUAAUGGGUCAGCGACUUAUAUUUUGUAGCGAGGUUAACCGAAUAGGGUAGCCGUAGGGAAACCGAGUCUUAACUGGGCGAAUAGUUGCAAGGUAUAGACCCGAAACCCGGUGAUCUAGCCAUGGGCAGGUUGAAGGUUGAGUAACAUCAACUGGAGGACCGAACCCACUAACGUUGAAAAGUUAGGGGAUGACCUGUGGCUAGGAGUGAAAGGCUAAUCAAACCGGGAGAUAGCUGGUUCUCCCCGAAAUCUAUUUAGGUAGAGCCUCGGACGAAUACUUACGGGGGUAGAGCACUGUUAAGGCUAGGGGGUCAUCCCGACUUACCAACCCUUUGCAAACUCCGAAUACCGUAAAGUAAUAUCCGGGAGACACACGGCGGGUGCUAACGUCCGUCGUGAAGAGGGAAACAACCCAGACCGCCAGCUAAGGUCCCAAAGUCAUAGUUAAGUGGGAAACGAUGUGGAAAGGCCCAGACAGCCAGGAGGUUGGCUUAGAAGCAGCCAUCCUUUAAAGAAAGCGUAAUAGCUCACUGGUCGAGUCGGUCUGCGCGGAAGAUGUAACGGGGCUAAACUAUGCACCGAAGCUGCGGAUUCAGAAUUUAUUCUGAGUGGUAGGGGAGCGUUCUGUAAGCGGUUGAAGGUGUACCGGGAGGUAUGCUGGACGUAUCAGAAGUGCGAAUGCUGACAUGAGUAACGAUAAUGGGAGUGAAAAACUCCCACGCCGGAAGACCAAGGGUUCCUAUCCCAUGUUAAUCAGGGUAGGGUAAGUCGACCCCUAAGGCGAGGCCGAAAGGCGUAGUCGAUGGGAAACAGAUUAAUAUUUCUGUACUCGAUAUAAUUGCGAUGGGGGGACGGAGCAGGCUAAGCAAGCAU
Molecule: ribosomal RNA, 1439 nt
Filed under: Pseudoalteromonas sp. 5Ae-yellow
Lineage: Bacteria; Pseudomonadati; Pseudomonadota; Gammaproteobacteria; Alteromonadales; Pseudoalteromonadaceae
Description: partial 23S ribosomal RNA
Rfam family: Bacterial large subunit ribosomal RNA
Source: RNAcentral